AUGGCGCUGCUCCGCGGCGCCAGCCCCGCCCCCAGGGCCGGCCCCGGCCCCGCGAUUGGCUCCGCUCGUUCGUGUCCGCCAAUGGCAGCCUGCGCUGCCCGUGACGUCACCGCGGCCCGGCGGCGCACGGAAGUGAACGUGCCCGCGGGAGCGCUGCGGGAGAGAAUUGCUGGGGAUCCCAGCAGACCCUGCCGGACCCCCUGGGACCACUCUGCAGGAAUGAAGAAGAAGAAGGAAUAUGCAUGUGCCCUGGAAUCCAGGUUGACGAUAGACCACCAGCUCUACCGCAGAGUUGAAACUCUGGAAAAAGAUUUCCAAAAAGGUCUGGACAACAUAAACCAUGAGCUUAAGUAUGUCAGAGCAGAGCUGCAGAACAACCAAGGAAAGAACGAGGAGGAUAUUCCAUUGAUCCCAGAAACAUUGUUGAAGAAGAACAAGCAAGAGUUAUCAGAAAAAAUCAAGACUGUGAAAGAUGAUGUAGAGCAAAGUAAGGAGGACAUAAAUCAUAAGCUUCAGAAACUCAGAGAUGAGCUGGAGGAGGAGAACCAAGGAAUGAAGAAGGAGAAAGAGCGUGCAUGGGCCCUGGAAUCCAGGUUGAAGAGGAAAAUGCGGCAGUUUUCCAGAAGAACCGAAACUCUGCAAGAAGAUGUAGAGGAAUGGCCAGAGACCAUAAUGCUUGAGCUUCAGGUUCGCGGAGGAGUGCUGAAGAACAUGAAAGGAAUGAAGAAGGAAGAUAUUGCAUUAGCCCUGGAAAACAUGUUAAAGAAGGGCAAGCGAGAAUUCUCCCAAAAAAUUGAGACUCUGAAAGAAGAUGUAGAGGAUUGUAUGGAGGCCAUAAAUCAUGAGCUUCACAUUCUCAGAGAUGAUCUGGAGGAGAAGAAACAAGGAAAGAUGGAGGGGGAGUGAAUAAGCCCUUGCGGGAACAGAGGACUUCUGGACAGCAAUUCCAUAUGACUAUGCAGAAGCCGAUUUAUUGUUUGCUUUUAAUUGUAUUUAUACAUUCUAAAACUACUUUUCACAUGAUCACACCUAUUUUGAUUGGUGCCUCUAUCUUUUCCACAUGCUGUGCACAAGUGUUACAGGUAAAAUGAUUGGUUGAAAUCCAGAGCAUCAAUGCCCAGCUUUAUCUUGGCUCUUCUAUUUUUUGUAUUCUGUUUUUCAGCUUCUUCUCUUCCAGUUUAGCACAAUUUAUGUUUCAGUAGCCUUGAAGAGUUACAGAAAGUUUGAUUGACUGCAGAAAAGCACCAAAAAAUGGCUCCCUCCAGUGUACCUGUUAUAAACAAUAGUCUAAAGUAAAACUGUCGAAAAACAGCUAAAUAUAGUUUGGCUGGUGCACUUGAUACAGAUUAUGGCCUAGAUGGUUCAGAUACAUUGCUACAAGCCCUGAAAUGCAGCAUGGAAAUGAUAGUCCUGGAGCUUUUUCCCUGAAUUCAAACUAUGGUAGUUUGGAAGGGGCUGACAGCUGUUCUGUGAACCAGAGUUAACUGAUAAGAUUUACUUCUGAAAGCAAUUUUACCAAGGCCAUUGGCAUGGAGAUGGAGAAGAGAAGAAGAAGAAGAUGUGAAAGUUAUUUGAAAACAGUGGUGGAGACUCCUUUGUACCAAUGAGGAUUGUGUUGAUCAAUUGUAGCCAAUGAAUAAAGUGUAAACUUUGUGUAGUGCGUAAAACACAGCAUGCUGUUGUAAUAAACAGAAAGUAUCCUUCUGAAGUGUGUCACGUCCCUUUGUGUGUCCUAUCUGUCUCAACAGCAACAUGGUACAAGAGUUACAGGAGAGACAGUGAUGCCUAGAGAGGCUGAUCAGGAACAGAGGCUAGACAGUGUUAAAGGCAUAAAGUGGGUAUUUAUUGAAAGACAUUUAAAGGAAACACCUUGGGCAGUACAAGAGCUUGGCCGUGGCUCAGUUGCAU
This is a long non-coding RNA of Catharus ustulatus (Swainson's thrush), 1908 nucleotides long. The record is from Ensembl. NCBI's taxonomy places the organism in Eukaryota, Metazoa, Chordata, Aves, Passeriformes, Turdidae.